Molecule: ribosomal RNA, 263 nt
Filed under: uncultured bacterium
Lineage: Bacteria
Description: partial 16S ribosomal RNA
Rfam family: Bacterial small subunit ribosomal RNA
Source: RNAcentral
UACGUAGGUGGCGAGCGUUGUCCGGAAUUACUGGGCGUAAAGGGUGCGUAGGCGGGGAUUUAAGUCAGAUGUGAAAUUCCGGGGCUCAACUUCGGAAUUGCAUUUGAAACUGGGUUUCUAGAGUGCAGGAGAGGGAAGCGGAAUUCCUAGUGUAGCGGUGAAAUGCGUAGAUAUUAGGAAGAACACCAGUGGCGAAGGCGGCUUUCUGGACUGUAACUGACGCUGAGGCACGAGAGCGUGGGGAGCAAACAGGAUUAGAUACC